GAAAAUGAUUUUGCUGUCUUCCCAUACUUAGUCUCCAGUGGACUGUAGCUCAGAAUUUCGCUGUAAAUAAUGGACUCCAAAACCAAGAACUAGCCUGAAAAUAAUUUAUGCAGCAGGCAGAUUUUAUAUUUGUCGUUCUGAAGAAGGAACUCACCAUGAAAUGUUGACUGUUUAUUCAUUCCCAGAGAUGCUGCCUGACCUGCUGAGUUCCUCCAGUAUUUUGUGUGUGUUGCCUUGGAUUUCUGGCAUCAGCCGAUUUUCUCAUGUUUGUUUUAAACUACUUUGUCAGCUGGAAGCAUCUUCGCUGUGGUAAGGAAGAGGGGACCCACCACUUGAAUAGUGGGUAUUGGCAUCAAAAUGCACUGUGAAGAAUAAACAAGGAAGUGAACUAUUUUUUGAAGAUUGGGUGGUUACAGUAAAAACUCCCUUUAGUGAAAGUACUCAUGGUUAUUUAUCCAAUAGGGCUUAAGAACAUUGUCUGAGUUUAAAACGUUGCAAUCAACAAAACUAAUAUCAUCAUAGGUACAGUAGUAGCCUCUUGCGGCCUCCAAGCCACAAUUUUAAAAAAUAACAAGUGAUCGCUAAAUGAACUCCAUAUCCUCCUUUACUUUGUAUUCCUUGAUCCUUUUAGCUUAAUUUCAGCUUUAAAAGUAACGAUCGAUCCAGCAUCAUCUGCCAUUUAACAUUUCUACCACACUUUGGAUGGCCUGAUUUCUCCUAAACUAUGAAUCCAAUAUCCUAGGCACCACCCACUUCCUCAUAACCAGUUAUAAUUAAUUCUCUAUCAUUUUGGUCCUCCUUUAUACCUAGAUCAUUUUAAUAAUGCAAUUAAUAACUCCAAUGAAAUUACAUAUUAAUUUUUCAGGUUCCAACAAAUAAAGGUCCAGUUUAUACAAUCACUCCUGCUAAUUUAACCCUCAUAGUCCAAGUAGCAUUUACUUAAUAUUUCAUUCAAUUUUGAUCCUAAAGGACAAGGCCUUAAGCUAAACACAGGAAUCCAGUGACACCAAACACCUACGACUAUAGCUCAGCAUUUAAUACCAUCAUUCCCACAAUCCUGAUUGAGAAGUUGCAGAACUUGGGCCUCUGUACCUCCCUCUGCAACUGGAUCCUCGACUUUCUAACCAGAAGACCACAGCCUGUGUGGAUUGGUGAUAACAUAUCCUCCUCGCUGAUGAUCAACACUGGUGCACCUCAGGGGUGUGUGCUUAUCCCACUGCCCUGCUCUCUAUAUACACAUGACUGUGUGGCUAGGCAUAGCUCAAAUACCAUCUAUAAAUUUGCUGACAAUACAACCAUUGUUGGUAGAAUCUCAGGUGGUGACGAGAGGACAUACAGGAGUGAGAUAUGCCAACUAGUGGAGUGGUGCCACGGCAACAACCUGGCACUUAACAUCAGUAAGAUGGAAGAGCUGAUUGUGGACUUCAGGAAGGGUAAGACAAAGGAACAGAUGUCAAUCCUCAUAGAGGGAUCAGAAGUGGAGAAAGUAAGCAGUGUCAAGAUCUCUGAAGAUCUAACCUGGUCCCAACAUACCAACAUAGUUAUAAAGAAGGCAAGACAGCAGCUAUGCUUUAUUAGAAUAAAUUUGGCAUGUCAACAAAUAUUUUUAUAGUUGUAUCUUGGAGAGCAUUCUGGCAGGCUGCAUCACUGUCUGGUAUGGAGGUGCUACUGUACAGGACUGAAAGAAGCUGCAGAAGGUUGUAAAUCUAGUCAGCUCCAUCUUGGGUACUAGCCUACAAAGUAUCCAGGACAUCUUUAGGGAGCGGUGUCUCAGAAAGUCAGCGUCAAUUAUUAAGGACCUCCAUCACCCAAGAGCAUGCCCUUUUCUCAUUGUUACCAUCAGGUAGGAGAUACAGAAGCCCAGAGGAACCCACUCAGUGAUUCAGGAACAGCUUCUUCCCCUCUGCCAUCCGAUUCCUAAAUGGACGUUGAACCUUUGGACUAUCUAAUUAUCUUUUAAUAUACAGUAUUUCUGUUUUUGUACAUUUUUAAAAUAUAUUCAAUAUACAUAAUUGA
Long non-coding RNA from Hypanus sabinus (Atlantic stingray), 2016 nucleotides. RefSeq lists it as uncharacterized. The record is from RefSeq and is a predicted model, not a curated record. Lineage: Eukaryota; Metazoa; Chordata; Chondrichthyes; Myliobatiformes; Dasyatidae. The transcript has 2 exons.